CCUACGGGCGGCAGCAGUGGGGAAUAUUGGACAAUGGGGGGAACCCUGAUCCAGCCAUGCCGCGUGUGUGAAGAAGGCCCUCGGGUUGUAAAGCACUUUCAGUGAGGAAGAACGCCUGGUGGUUAAUACCCAUCAGGAAAGACAUCACUCACAGAAGAAGCACCGGCUAACUCCGUGCCAGCAGCCGCGGUAAUACGGAGGGUGCGAGCGUUAAUCGGAAUUACUGGGCGUAAAGCGCGCGUAGGUGGCUUGAUAAGCCGGUUGUGAAAGCCCCGGGCUCAACCUGGGAACGGCAUCCGGAACUGUCAAGCUAGAGGGCAGGAGAGGAAGGUAGAAUUCCCGGUGUAGCGGUGAAAUGCGUAGAGAUCGGGAGGAAUACCAGUGGCGAAGGCGGCCUUCUGGACUGACACUGACACUGAGGUGCGAAAGCGUGGGUAGCAAACAGGAUUAGAUACCCGAGUAGUC
Molecule: ribosomal RNA, 465 nt
Filed under: Vreelandella stevensii
Lineage: Bacteria; Pseudomonadati; Pseudomonadota; Gammaproteobacteria; Oceanospirillales; Halomonadaceae
Description: partial 16S ribosomal RNA
Rfam family: Bacterial small subunit ribosomal RNA
Source: RNAcentral